AUGAACGCUGGCGGCGUGCCUAAUCCCUGCCAGUCGAGCGAACAGACGAGGAGCUUGCUCCUCUGACGUUAGCGGCGGACGGGUGAGUAACACGUGGAUAACCUACCUAUAAGACUGGGAUAACUUCGGGAAACCGGAGCUAAUACCGGAUAAUAUAUUGAACCGCAUGGUUCAAUAGUGAAAGACGGUUUUGCUGUCACUUAUAGAUGGAUCCGCGCCGCAUUAGCUAGUUGGUAAGGUAACGGCUUACCAAGGCAACGAUGCGUAGCCGACCUGAGAGGGUGAUCGGCCACACUGGAACUGAGACACGGUCCAGACCCCUACGGGAGGCAGCAGUAGGGAAUCUUCCGCAAUGGGCGAAAGCCUGACGGAGCAACGCCGCGUGAGUGAUGAAGGUCUUCGGAUCGUAAAACUCUGUUAUUAGGGAAGAACAAAUGUGUAAGUAACUAUGCACGUCUUGACGGUACCUAAUCAGAAAGCCACGGCUAACUACGUG
This 496-nucleotide ribosomal RNA is filed under the name uncultured bacterium. Its description in RNAcentral is "partial 16S ribosomal RNA". It matches the Rfam family "Bacterial small subunit ribosomal RNA", at positions 29 to 507 of the family's 1533-position model. The record is from RNAcentral.